UAUCUAGAAUUUUGUGUGUUAACUAAUGAGCAUACUCAUUUUUGGUACUCAAUUCACUUCAACAGGGAGGAGAUGAUGGGUCUAUCACCAACUCACAGGGAGACAUCUCACUUGGCUCCACCUCAGCUGAAGUAGUCAACAACAAUGAGAAGGAGACAUCGCCUCUUGGUGUGCCAGCAUUGGGUGAACUCCAACAGGUGGAUAAAUGCACAACCAAGGAUCGUAAGCUCGAGAUGAGUGAGCCUACUGCUAAGAAGGCCCGCUCCGAUUAGAUGAAUAUGAGAGUAUUUUAAAGUUAUCAUGCUGUCGUUUUUUUCAAAUAAUGGUUUUGUUUUUGGUUGUAAGGUACUUUAACGUUAUCUGGUUUCACUUAUAGUCGUAUCAUAUCAAUGUUUCCUGAUUUAAAAGUCUUAUAGUUUCGUAUUUAAUAAUGUCAAAUCAUCCCCUUGCGCAAGCAAUAUCUCAUGGAUUAACAAAAAUCACUGGAUAUAAUUGAAAUGUGCAUUAUGUUAGUCCAUAUGAAACUAUUUUGAGUUCCUUCAGUCCAUCUUCUUGGUGUAUGUAUAGACAUAGAACAGAAGACCGACAACAUUUUCAUCUUUCAGCAUAACUUCCUCAGCUUAUUCCCUCUCUGUUUUUUCUUCGAGCUCCCCUGUUUUGUCAUGG
RNAcentral lists this long non-coding RNA (666 nucleotides) under Brassica napus (rape). RNAcentral describes it as "long non-coding RNA (BNAP_LNC016386)". Lineage: Eukaryota; Viridiplantae; Streptophyta; Magnoliopsida; Brassicales; Brassicaceae. The record is from RNAcentral.